GUCCUUGUCAUCAGGCCUCUCUACAAAGGCACAGUGGCAGCCAGCACCCCUGGUAACAGCUACUCAGAGGAGCCCUUCCAUCACAGACACUAACAGACUCCGACCUUGGGCUCCCCAAGGAGGUUUUCAGUCAUCACCAGCAGAGAAAGCUGAGUGAGGCUGUGAAGGAGCUGGCGAGUUAAAGAUGUCUGUUUUUCUCCAAACAGGUUUCUGGUAAUGGAGGAGGAGGUUAUGCCUUUUGAAUAACAAGGCCUGCUGAGAGUGAGACUGAUGCUGAGUCAGGGAGGCUCGUGUCUGAGCUGGAGAUCAACACCACAGGAAUCAAAGUCCGCUGCUGACAGAUAAGUAUGUUCAGAAGAACAAUGGCUUGUUGAAAGUUUUGAUGAG
Long non-coding RNA from Bubalus bubalis (water buffalo), 387 nucleotides. RefSeq lists it as uncharacterized. NCBI's taxonomy places the organism in Eukaryota, Metazoa, Chordata, Mammalia, Artiodactyla, Bovidae. The record is from RefSeq and is a predicted model, not a curated record. The transcript has 2 exons.